This is a long non-coding RNA of Monomorium pharaonis (pharaoh ant), 4851 nucleotides long. RefSeq lists it as uncharacterized. NCBI's taxonomy places the organism in Eukaryota, Metazoa, Arthropoda, Insecta, Hymenoptera, Formicidae. The transcript has 2 exons. The record is from RefSeq and is a predicted model, not a curated record.
UGCCGGGACAAGAUCGCGGACGUUCUCUUUCCGCGGUCAGCGAUUUUGCAUCGGAAUGAGCUACGCUCGUGCGCGCGCUCUUCUCUCCCCCCCCCCUUCUUUCUAUAUAUUUAUAUUAAUUUAUUUAUAUAUCCUUCUGUUUCCCUUAUAGUAGAAAAUUGAAGUGCACGCUUCUUUUCGCGUGUCUCUUGAAAUUUGACAAAAUGAUCAGUUUGCGUGAUAAUGCGCGGUGUUGCACUUUAUAGAUUUGUGUAACGAGUCAAUCGAUUACUUUUGAAAUACCGAAGGUUGUCGAAUAAAUUUAUAAUAUUCGCAGCGUGUUGAUAUAAUCUGAUUUCCUUGCCGAGCUCGGUCACAACAUAGUGGAUCAAUGUAUUUGCAAUAAAUAUGAGCGCGUAAAUACCGUCGCGUACGGUCAUUAAUUAUUCGUCUGUUGACAGAAAUACAAUUGCAGUGAUUCGCCCCUGUAUUUAUCUAAUACUUUGAACCGAGUGUCGAACAAUUCUAAAAUUGUGUAACAAUUCUUAUCUUCAAUAUCAUCAUCUAAUGUAAUCUUAAUAAAAUUAAAAAAAUAUUUCAUUACAAAUACAAAUAGAAUACGUAAUUGUUUCAUUAUUAAAAUUAUAUAAAUUAUCAAUGAAAGGCAAAGUUUUAACUCGAGCAAACUUUUUGUUGAUCUUAUAUUGUGUCUUCAAUUUCCGAUUGAUGAAAUUUUGAAAGCUUUGAAGACCAAAACUUUUGGAACUUUAAGAUAGAUAAUUUUAAUUAUUCAAUUACCGACUUAAGAUAGCUUGCAGCUUUAGUCAGAAAUUGUUAUGAAUUGCAUAUUCAAUUUUAUUACUUUUUGCUUUAAAUUAAGGAAGAAAUUUGUUCGGGGCAAUUUAUAAUAAGGACACAAAUAUAUUGCCUUAAUUACAAUCUACUCGAUAAUUAUGUCGCAUUAAUUUUUUCCAAGUAGUCUAGUGGUAAUAUGAAUUUCUAAAUGUUAAAAGAAUUUGUUCUUUCAAAUUUUUUACGCAUUAAUUUACACAAUAAUUUGCGAUAAUUCGUGAAGAGCCGCUGCUAAGUGAAAAUUACAAAUUUGUUUCCGCGUGGGAUCGUAUUCAUAGCAGCGCGCGGGAAGCGGUUUUCGUGUAUAAAUUUACCAGCGAACAGCCUGCGACGUAAUUACGAAACUUCCUUAAUUUCCGCAGAUCCUUUGUGCUUUGAUUUACGUCCCGUAAUGGCGGCGAUUAUUUCCUGCGGAUUCGUACGACGUAUCCUCACGCCGCAGAAAAUUCAGCCUGGUGCUGCGACCACCACACUGGCCGAGCCAUGGAUCGGUUGUUAUAUCGGUGCGGUAAAAGAAACCUGAGCGGGAGCCCGGAGCUCCGCUUGCUCGCGGAGCUAACCCGUCGCGGGGGAGCCAACAUCGCCGUGCUAACUUGCACCGCAAGAUCGUACAAUCCCUUUGUGAAACCUGCAACUCGCCUUUUCUCUCCAAAGAAUAAAAGUUUCCUGAGCAGACUACGGCGACACGAGUUUUGUUCGUGUGAGAUAAUAAAAUCUUUUCCUUGUAAAAUGAAAUGUAUGUUUUAUCUAUAUUUUAUUUAAACAUAAUUCCUCCCUCCCCUCUUUCUGUCUUUCCUUUACUUAUUAAUAUUUUGUUUUUAUUGUGUAACAAAUUUAAGUGUGAAGAUACAUGUGCUGAGACGAAUGCUGUUAUUACUGCUGUUAUUACUGCUGUUAACCUUUUGCAGAACUGUCGCGCGGUUUCCUUCAUUGCGAAAUUACCGAAGAGAUGCUCUAACGUUAAUCGUUCUAAUAUUACUAGGACAAGGCUCUUCCUCGCGACACGACAUCAUUGAGCGUCGAUGUCGAUGGAAGUUAUUCGGAGCAGCUUGUUGACGCGACGCGCUCGGAACCCGGCAGUUAUUUCCACGCUGAAUAUUGUAUCAAUUUUAACACCGUGCGCACGGAACGAGACAGGUUGAGUCAAUAUACGUGAUACGUAGGUGUGACAUCCAACUCGAUUAAGCAUCACGACGAACCUUCGUCGUGUCGGUCCGUAUUAGUACGGAUGCCGCGCUCGUGCGUAUGCGUCUCGCAGGUGUGAAAUGUCAAAAGCGCGACGCCGCGAAGCCAAACAUAGUCGGACUCAGCGCGGCGUAAAGCUGACACGAGAUGCGUUCGUACGAUUGAAAUAAUAUUCAUUGUAGAAUAAUCAGCAGAGCCAACGAAUCGUGAUAUUUUACGAGAGAGAGAGAGAGAGAGACAUACUUCAUUUUCGAGCGACAGAUUCAACACUAAAUGACAAGUGUCGUAUUGUUAUGUCUUUACCAAACUUCAACUUGAGAUUAGAGUUCCGUGGCACUGGUCAUAUUCUACACAAAAUAAUUGUACCCGAUCAGAAUAUUCUACACAAAUAUAUUGUACACAAAAAAAUGGUACGUGGGAAAACCGUGCACAGGAAUUAUCUUUCAAUUAAAAAUUGCACACGGAUAUAUUGUGCAUAGAAAAACUGUACAGUAUUAGACAGUUUUUCUAAUUUUUUUGUGUACAAUUAUUUUGUGUAGAAUAUGAUCAGUGCCGAGUUUCGUUUCAAGUUAUUAAUAAAUUAGUUGAUUUCCGAGGGAAAGGGUAUAGAAAUAUGGAGAGCUUGUGAUUAGAAAAUUCCGUCACGCGUUCGUCGAGUCGUCCCUUAAGGCGCGGCGUAUCAUCAUUACACCUCUCUGAACGUAACUGAAAACAGCUCGCUCCGGUACCGGAGCAAAGUUUGCUUUUCAUCACGCGACUAAGCUCGCGAUAUCCGCGUGCACUGAACGUGAAAUGAAUUUUAUCGAUUCUCGCGACCGAGAUAGGUCGUAAAGCUGUGUCGGCCCGGCAUUCGAUUGCCUCACAAUGAGAGCGGAAUUCGUCGACGUACGAGUUUUCGAAACUCGACGCGGCGGCAGUUGCAUCUGCUUGACGGAACUCGAAUGGUAGGGGGCAUCCUAUAAAGUGAAGCCUCAAGUGUGGGGCGAUCAACGAGACGGGAAAUCGACAGUAGUAUCCGUCCGUGUUUCCAAGUGGGAUUCGGGGGAGACCUGGGAGACCGCAAGUAACGUGCUCGCGCGUUUAGUUUGGAAAAUCAAUAGCGUAAUUCCACGAAAUCAAAGAGCAAAUUCGGUAAUCGUAAAACAGCCCGUAUUCUUAUCUCGCGAUUGCGAAAAAGCAGACGUGUAGAGACGCGUGACUAAUUCGAGACUGAUAAUCAUUAAAAAGUAUUGCAUUUAUCUAUAGAUACCGGAGAUUGUUAAAUUGAAAAAUUAAAACUGUCUCAGUGAGACAGUUAUUCUCGUGAAAGUAGAGUGACACGUCUUGAGUGGCGCAUCUGCCGUGAUCGCGCUGUAAUAAAUGCCGUGCCCCACAACGAUCUUUUACAGCGAUUUUCUCGGCGCCCGGAAUGACACGACCGAGAAAUUCGCAGAGCAUUCGGGGAGGCAAAGGGGAGAGGAGGGGACGCCCGCGCGCCGUCGGGAAUUUUGCAGCCGAUUGUGCGGCCUCUCGCGCGCUGGAAUGCCCCCGUCGCACGCGUGCCGCGCGCGUAUAUUCUCUGUUCUACAAGUGUUUAUACACGUCCGGCGCAUACCAUAGCCCGCGCGCACGCUAACUAACGAGAUGUUUCAUAACGGCGGAUUUAGCGCGCGCGGCCGCCGACCCGGAACGGUUCCCUAAUCACCACGGCGACGGCAAUUAAUACGGGGGAUGGCGCGAAGCGGGCGGCAGAGACGCCAGUAGUAGCGCCGGGGCAGUUGCUUCGAUUUACGGCGUCUCGAAAUUAAUUUCUCGCACCCGCGAUCGUCCUUUCUCCCCCCCCCCUUCCGCGUGAUUUCAUUCUCAUUCCCCGCGACUUGAUAAAUCACGCCUCUCCCUCCCCUCCCUGUGUAAUCACGCGUGUGACGCGUCUCGCGUCGUGGAAAGGCCGAAAGUUUCGUGCGCGCGCGAAUUAAUUGAUAUAGCGGCAGGGAAAAAUUGCGGUUGCCUGACGCGUCGCAAUAAGGAAACGUUAAUAUUACAAAAUUAAUGACCCUUAUUCCAAAGUCGUUUAGAAAUCGAAACAUCGCGACACGAUUAUUUCGAUGGAUUCACGGAACGAAAAGGCUGUGGCUACUCCUUGUUUGCAGGGACGAAAUUAAUGUCGCGGCGGUGCUCAUUAACGGCCUUUAAAGGCGUUGUUUUUAUACCACGAAUGUGGCACGCGAAAUUUCACUCGCGGUAUUGCUAUGUAAUAAUUGCAAUUACACGGGUAAAUCGAUAAUUAGUGGACGCGGAUGUCGCGAAAAUUGGUAUAAUAAAUUCGAAAUAAGGACAGAAAGCUGCAACACGCUCGCGCGGUCUUAUCCUCUCUCUCCCCGUCCCCCGUUCUCUUAAUAUAUGAUUCAAUAAACGUGUUAUGGAACAAUUCAAAGGGGUCUUGUUGCAGUAUCGUGGUGCUCGUUACAAUGAAAAACUCGCGGAAGGGGAAUUUUAACGAACGUUAUACAUCAAACGUUAUACGUCGCGAUAAAAUUUUUCGCCCGUUAACUGGAUGCGUAUUUUUAUCGAAAUAUCAUCCCGUGGCUUCUUCCCUUUCGCUUCGCGUGUCCUCGCUUUUAUUCGCGAGCCGCCGAUCGAGCAUUCAGCUUAAAAAACUACAUCGUGAGCGUUAUUUAAUUCCGUUUGCGUUCAAUUUUAUCUUGUGUUUCCGACGUAUUCUAUUCGGGAUUUGAUUUUCCGCACAUUGAAUUUCGUGAGACAGUUACCUGGCCUUCCUUACAAUUGAGCACGAAAUUGCGUCACGUGUUUUGAACAAAACACGCAAAAUACGCACGACCAAAUAAGAAAAAAAAA